GGCGGGAUAGCUCAGCCGGUUAGAGCGCAGGAUUCAUAAUCCUGAGGUCGAGAGUUCGAGUCUCUCUCCCGCUA
RNAcentral lists this transfer RNA (74 nucleotides) under bacterium. Its description in RNAcentral is "tRNA-Met". It matches the Rfam family "tRNA". From Rfam's summary of the family: Transfer RNA (tRNA) molecules are approximately 80 nucleotides in length. Their secondary structure includes four short double-helical elements and three loops (D, anti-codon, and T loops). The record is from RNAcentral. RNAcentral also lists the same sequence under 3 other names.